UACGGAGGAUCCAAGCGUUAUCCGGAAUUACUGGGCGUAAAGAGUUGCGUAGGUGGCAUAGUAAGCAGAUAGUGAAAGCGUGGGGCUCAACCUCAUAUCCAUUAUUUGAACUGCUAAGCUAGAGGGCGAGAGAGGUUACUAGAAUUCCUUGUGUAGGAGUGAAAUCCGUAGAUAUAAGGAGGAAUACCGAUGGCGUAGGCAGGUAACUGGCUCGUCCCUGACACUAAGGCACGAAAGCGUGGGGAGCGACCGGG
RNAcentral lists this ribosomal RNA (254 nucleotides) under uncultured bacterium. RNAcentral's name for it is "partial 16S ribosomal RNA". It matches the Rfam family "Bacterial small subunit ribosomal RNA", at positions 524 to 776 of the family's 1533-position model. The record is from RNAcentral.